GUGCCCCGCGGUAAUACGUAGGGUGCGAGCGUUGUCCGGAAUUACUGGGCGUAAAGAGCUCGUAGGUGGUUUGUCGCGUUGUCCGUGAAAACUCACAACUCAAUUGUGGGCGUGCGGGCGAUACGGGCAGACUGGAGUACUGCAGGGGAGACUGGAAUUCCUGGUGUAGCGGUGGAAUGCGCAGAUAUCAGGAGGAACACCGGUGGCGAAGGCGGGUCUCUGGGCAGUAACUGACGCUGAGGAGCGAAAGCGUGGGGAGCGAACAGG
RNAcentral lists this ribosomal RNA (267 nucleotides) under uncultured bacterium. RNAcentral describes it as "partial 16S ribosomal RNA". It matches the Rfam family "Bacterial small subunit ribosomal RNA", at positions 509 to 776 of the family's 1533-position model. The record is from RNAcentral.